This is a non-coding RNA of Podarcis lilfordi (Lilford's wall lizard), 8494 nucleotides long. The record is from the annotation of a GenBank genome assembly. NCBI's taxonomy places the organism in Eukaryota, Metazoa, Chordata, Lepidosauria, Squamata, Lacertidae.
AAAGGAUUCGGCACGUUUAGAAGAAAAGAUGGGAGCCGAGCGCUGGUUUCAAAGAGCCUUCCUUCUGCUGGAGUGGGAGGGGCAGAGGAGCGUGGGACGGAGCAGGAAAACCAGGCUGGCGAGAGGGGUGGGCUGCUUCCCGGCAACAGCGACACAAACGUAGGGACAUUUGAUCCUUGCAAGCGGGGAGCGAGGGUCGACGUGCACCUCCCACCUGCCCGCCACGCACAGAAAGGGCUACCCUUCGAAAGAGGGCAGUAGUCACACGUUUAGUCCGCUGGAACCCUACCCCCGCCCCCAGCGGUGUUUGCUCCGGAGUGAAUAGUGCACAGGUUAUGUGGGGUUCGGAUCCUACUAACUGAGCCUUGUAAGAUAUGCACCAAGAAAGGCAGCAUUGGUGAGGAACACAACUGGAUCCACAUUUCUCGCUGGAAAGGUCCUGUUUCCUCCCGGCUGAACCGACAAGAGGUAAAUUCGGUCCCCUCCACUUGGCUUCUUCGGAAUGAUCGAAUAGAACUAUAGUGGCAUCAGUCCCUUUGUAUGUAUCAGUAAGGUGCACAAAUUACAGGUAACAUUGGGUAAAUAUUUAUUAAGCGGGAGCUCUUUGAAAUCGACCAAGGAUGGUUUGAAGUCUAGGCUGCUAUCUGCUGGCGUCAGUGAUUCGUUCUGUCAUCCUCCCACAGAGAAAAAAAAAUGAACAGGGGGGGGGGGACGUGAAAUCAGAGACGACAGUCACAACCAUCUUUCUUUGCCAGCUCAGUGGCAGUUACACUGUGAUCCUCAGAUGUGAGCUGCUUUGUUCAGUGGAACUUUUUUUAAAAUAAAAAUGAGUGUACAUUGGGUACCAACAUUAAAGUACAAUCUGUAAUUAGAAAGGAUCCAGACGGUUUGAUGUAGAUUCUGCUUCCACCAUGUACACAAGCUUUUUUUCUCUUUUCUUUUGGCUUAUGAAGUCAUCCCAUCUCACCCAAACAAGCUGUCACACAUGUGGACCACCAGCUUGGUGUUAUUAUCCCCUUUGGGAAUAAUCUGGGGAGUUUUGUACUUACAACAAAGAAGAAUGGUCCAUCACCAGCUUAGAGAAUUGCUAUGGAAGGAUGGGAAAUGGGCCACAGCAUCCCAAAGCAUCUCUAAAGGAACACUUUAUUGACUAUUCCAAGAAAGACUGUAGGUGCAUUCUAGAACAGAGGGGCUUAUUAUUUCCCCCCGGCCCCAGUCUUUCUUCGUAAUGACUUGUCCUCUGGACGCUCUCUCCUCCUUGAACUUUCUUAAUUCUUGUUUCAAUAUCCUUCUUGAACAGAGGCAACUCCAGCUGAAUACAUUACCCCAAAAUUAAAUUUCUCAAAGUCUAAAUGUAACAGUCUCAGAUCUUUCUCAGAUCUUGGGGCCUUCACCAAUAUCAGUUGGUCAAGCAAAAAUGCCAUGUGUUGUGCAGGAUCAGUAUGUGUUAUCUGUCUAAUAAGCACUUUUCUUUAGAGAAUAUUGCACACACACCCAUCCUCAAACAAUAUAUAAUUGCUGGGUGGAGGGGAGGAUGCAGUUAUUCCCCGUUGGAACAAAGGGACAAGCCAUGGCAACAUGAAGGAUGUCUAGAAUAUGGUUGGUGGAAUGAGUGUCACAGGGAGCCCCAUGAGUGAUAACACAAGUACUCUUCCAUGCCCAUUAAAGAGGUUUUAUUUGUAUUAUGUAUUUAUAGCUCCUCUGUUGAACCAGGGUGCAUGCACAGAUUGUCUAAAUCAAUGGUUCUCAACCUGUGGGUCUCCAGCUGUUUUUGGACUACAACUCCCAUCAUCCCUCGCUAGCAAGACCAGUGGUCAGGGAUGAAGGGAAUCGUAGUCCGAAAACAGCUGGAGACCCAAGGUUGGAAAACACUGGUCUAAAUUAAGGGUGUAUGAAGACAACCACAAUCACAUAUCAGUUGGCCAGAAGCAUACAAGAAUUUAAUUAGGAAAAUGGGAACGUACUAGGAAGUUGCCUCAUUCCAAGUCAGACCCUUGGUCCAUUUAGCUCAGCGUUGGCUACUGGCAGUGGCUCUGCAAGGUUUCAGACAAGCCUCUUUAGUCCCUAACUGGAGAUGCUACUGCAGAUUGAACUCGGGACCUUCUCCAUGCAACACAGAUCUUUUGCCACUGAGCCACAGCCCUUCCCCAUUUAGCUUGCCGUUCUGCUCCCAACUUUCUUCUGGCAAGUUCACAAGGUCAUUAAGGCAACACCCCCUUCCUUGCUGUUUGUUGCUGGUAUCUGCUAUUCAGAGGUAUACUGCCUUUGCCUCUGGAGGCACUAUUUAGUUAUCCUGUCUAAUAACCCGGGUGAUGCCAGAGCACGCAGCCCACCUCAAGCCUGAUCCAAUGCUACAAUCCAUUCUCCAAGGGCUGGAUUGAGUCACCAAUAAAAUGAACAAGCCCUCCAAAGCUCUAGCUGAAACUGCCACCAGCCUUCAUGAGUAUUCAAUAAGUGCACAAACCACCUACAUUUUCUUCAUUGCGGAUGUUGAAAUUACAUAAUUGCUUCUCCCCGUCAUGCAUUAUAAUGUAUUAAUCCACUAGCCCCAAUUCAUUAUUUACACAACUAAUAAAAGCGUUCAGUGUUUUAAUAUAAAAUGACAAGUUUUACAAGUAAUUAUAGACACUGUUAUAAUCCUGGGAUAGCACACCAUUACUGCGAUUGAGGGCUCCACCGUGUGGCAAAAAACUGAAAUGGAUGGAAUUCAUAAGAUGUUGCAUUUAGCACUGGAGAUCGUUCAGAGUGCUGUUGCACUUUAUUUCACAAAUCCUUACAGCAGAAUCAUUAGGUUGCUGAUCAUCCUCAUACAGUGAAUAAGGGAGUAAUACUGAAAAAGCAAUGGCUUGCCUCAAGCAAGUUCUUGUCAGAGAUGGUAUUUCAACCAAGGAUGUGGUUCUGUCUUAGGCAAUGUACUUCUUUGUGUCUAUACUCAGCAGAGAGCUCCAUUGCAUUCAAGGUAUCAACUCCCAGAAAAAAUGUGCAUAGUAUAUUGUUGCCUGUCACUAUACUGAAUUGGUAUGUGUAAUCUACAUACUAUGAAAAUUAGUGUGUGUGUAUGAAUAAUUCAUAUUUAUUUUAUGAUAGACAUAUUUUUAAGGUGGCAGAUGUUCUUGUUUUAAUAUGGUUUCAAGGUAUAAAAACAAUAAUUUCUGACACUUUAUGAGGUGUCUAUGGUGUAGUAUUUAUAACAAACAUAUUAGCAAAACAUGCAUUGUACUUUUUAUAUAACCUUUAUUUACUGUAAAUAAUUGCUGUUCUCACUUUAACAGUGAGCUCUGAAGCUAUAAAUCACUUUGUUUUUUCAAAAAUAAUAAUCAAGUGGUAUCUAAAUUUUAUGAAAUAAAUAAUGUAAUUAAAUAAGUGAGGUUAUUGUUAUUCCCAUUUUACAUAUGGGGUACUAAUAGCCCAAACUGUGUGACACCAUCAUAUCUAUGACAGACGCAGGACUUGCUCCAUUACUGAAAUCAUUACUAGCUUCAUUACUGAAAUCAAAAGGAAAUACACUUCAAAUGUCAAAGUUUAUUUUAAACUGUCUAUCAAAUUAUAAUGCCUUUUUUCAGAUGAAGAAAUAUUAAAUUUUAUGGUGAAACUAGAAGACAAGCUUCCCACUUUUGAUGUUGAUGUUCAGGUAGAAGGACUGGACAAAAACUGUCUUCAUGUGGAAUGGUUCAUAACAGAUUUCACAUUUGCAUAUUCAAAGAUUAUUAAAUAUCUUCUUCCUUCCCCAUCUGGCUGUGAAUAUGGUAUUUUAAACUGACCUUUGUGGCAAAUUUCUGCUUCCCCAACAAUGUUCUUCUUACUCCACCUACAGGCCAAAAGCAAUUUUGCCAUUUGUUUCUGUUCACUCCUGUACAACAAUAUUUGAAAACAAAUGCAGGCAUUAAAUGCAUUAAGUUACAAUGAAAUGCUGCCCACCUUGUUACUAAUAAAAAUGGACUGGAAACCGAGAUGAAAGGAAGAAGACCCUAGGACCAGUUAUAAUUCUGCUGGGUUCCGUUCUCAUUCCCUCCCACCAGCAGAUGCAAUGUUCUGAAGGUGGAAUAUGGAAAUGCAGGUGUCUUCCCUUGAGGCAGGAGCAGCCCUCCUCCUAGAACGCUGCCCACAAUUUUGCAUGCCAACCCAUCAGGAACCUGUUUUCACUGCCUCCCUGGGACUGCAAUGACAGAAGGGUCAUCAAACACCUGGCAGGCCAUGCUUGAUGGACCAUGUUCAGAUUGAUGGUUCUCAACUUCUGCAAGCCUGCCCUCAAGGAAGAAAUAUGCAUUUGACCUGCUUCGUAUUGUGAAUGUUUCAGUGACAGAGUGGGAAAUAUAUUUUUCCUCUCCCUUGGGUUUUUUUUAAAAAUAAGGUAAUGUCAGAUACCACAUCAUUCAACCUCUAGGUUGUAGAAUUAGCAGGCCCUUAGCCAUUGCCCUGCCAGUCUCUGAAGACUUAGACUGAAGCCAUACAUCUGGGCUGAGGGACCUGUGGCUGAAACCAACAUCUGGAAGGCCACAGGUUUCCUGCUAAAUCUGAAACCUUGGUGAAGAAGAAGAGUUUGGAUUUGAUAUCUCGCUUUAUCACUACCCUAAGGAGUCUCAAAGUGGCUAACAAUCUCCUUUCCCUUCCUCCCCCACAACAAACACUCUGUGAGGUGAUUGGGGCUGAGAGACUUCAGAGAAGUGUGACUAGCCCAAGGUCACCCAGCAGCUGCAUGUGGAGGAUCAGGGAAUCGAACCCGGUUCACCAGAUUACGAGUCCACUACUCUUAACCACUACACCACACUGGCUCUCUAGUGAGAAGUUCUGAGCCUCCUGAUAGAAACUGGGAAGUCAAAGUCACAGGAAUAUAGGAAGCCACCUCCUGCUUUCUCAGUCUGGAGAGCUUGAGUUAAGUCAGUUACUGACACACCUCUUUGGCUGAGGGCUUUUCCUGAAAUUGAUUGCUGCCCAGAUUCCUUCUUCAUGCUUCAUAUCUUGCUUUACAGUUGCCAUCUUUUUAUUCUGGCUGGGCAUUCUUGCCCAAAACCCAACAUGCAUCCCCAUCAUUGCAUCCAUGUGCAGAGGAAGACCUUCAUCUGCUGCAGUUCUGCUAGUAAAGAUCCAGUGACACUGCUGGAAAGGAAGAAGGGGACACUAUAUCUGCCAUAUAUAUGCCUUUGAGUCCAUUAGUCCCUGCCUCAUUCUCUGUGAUUUAGUUUCACAAAUUCAGCCAACCGGGUUGCUGCAUUCCUUCAGUCAAUCAAGUUCACUUUAGUCCUAUUGAUACAUUGGAGACAUGCAGCCUGAUCCUCUGCUUUAUAUUGACUUAGAAGUACAUCCCGUGGAAUUCAAUGGUGCUUACUCCCCAGUCAGUGCACAUACAAUUUCAGCCUAAGUGCCCUGGAGUGGGUGAGUAUAAAAUGGGGAUGAGAAACUUGUGGCCCUCUAGAUCAGCCUUUCUCAAGCUGUGGGUCCCCAGAUGUUGUUGGGCUACAACUCCCAUCAUCCCUGAGCUCUGGCCUUGCUAGCUAGGGGUGAUGGGAGUUGUAGUUCAACAACAUCUGGGGACCCACAGGUUGAGAAAGGCUGCUCUAGAUGUUGUUGGCCUCCAACUUCCACCAGCCCCAGUCAGCUGUAGUCCAGCAACAUCUGGAAGCCAACAGGCUCCCCAUAAUUUAGGAGUAUAAAUUUAUUCUGUGAAUCGCCCUGAUUUAUUCUGUGAACCACCCUGAGACCUGUGGGUAUAGAGCGGAAUAUAAAUAAAAUAUAUAACUCCGGUCUAAAUAUCUGGAGUCUGCUCUACAGGCAUAAGUUUCCUGCAUGAUUUAGGAACAUUAUAAAUUGCAUAGGGAACCUAUGCCUGUACAGAAGCUCCCCUCAUCUGCUGCAAUCUUUAGACCUCCUCUCCCAAUGGAGCUAUGUGGAAGUGGUGCUAAUUGGUGUGAAUUCUGUGAGCUGAAAAUGCCAGAAUAGGGUUCUAUCAAAUCUAGGGUUGAGAGAGAGAGCUUUUGAGACACUGAAUGCCCACAUCCCAGAAGUUCCAUUUUGUCACUUAAAUGCUAUAUGGCUUGAUAGAAAUGUUAUUAUUUAAUUUUUUAUUUCUUUCGAAAAAAGUUUGUUUUAGGAUACCAUGUGAUCUAUGUACGUGACCAUCUAAUUGCCACCAAUUUGACAGAGUGGGCUUCAACUCCCCACAACCAAAUGUGUGGAUACUAAUUGUAAAGGUUUAGGAUUGUACCACUGUAGGUGGACAUGUUGUCCCUUUAACAUCUGGAAUUUCAAGGUGGCUCCACCAAUAGGAAUAAGGGAUGUAGAUCAUCCCUUCCUCACACCUGAAACUCACCCCACCCCAUUUCCGUAAAUCUUUACCCACAUCAUGAUCUCACAGAAGCCUUGUGUUACUCUACCAACUCACAACAGAUGCUGCUGGCUGGACAAGAAAGAUGCACAUCAAGGAGUCAAGGCCAUUUGCAGCUGCCAUCUCUUGUUUCUUCCUCUGACCUGCUAUUGAAAACACUCCUGGCACCUGGAUAAACAUUGCUCCUGCUUAUAUUGCCAACAGUCACAGUUCUUAUCACAUCAGAUUCUUCUUUGGUGGUGCACAGCUAUUUAAUAUUUAUCCAAUGCUAGCAGUGUGCCGAGUGCCAAUAGUCCUUUUUCUUCUUCUUCUCCAGAUUCUUUUUACUGGGCAAUGAUAUGCUAAAAUCUGGCUUUUUAUCCCUUGAAACUGCACAGUGUUAACAGGGACAAUCAGAUAUUCCAUUGAUGGUGCUGAUUGUCAAAAACCCGCAGUUCCAGAUAGGAACAGCCCCAUUAUCCCGAAUAGCUGCUUCUUAUUCAGUAGGAACCAGGGUGGUGUUUCAACAGGAAGGAGCCCAAAGGCUGACACAGGCUAGCAUCCGAGAGCAAAUCAUUAUGUGCCGGGAAAGGGAAUCAAGGAUAUGAAUUUAAAUUUAGAGAUCGUGGUUUUACUAGUAAUACAUUUUCAAGGAAGUCUAUUUCUCUCUGAGGCUAAAUUAUGCUUCUAAACGAGCAAACCUUUAGGCAGGGAAAUCCUCUCAGUGAAGAACCCUGGCCACUGAUAUACAAACAGCAACGCUAAACAUAAAGAUUUAUGUGCUAUUGCUUACAGCAUAAGCAAAGAGGCCAGUGGCAUGCAAAACUGAUUGAAUCCCCUUAAGCGAAAGCAAAAGAGAUGGGGUGGUAGUGGAAUGCAAUUAAGAGUGAAAUGCAUCAAUACUGGAAUGCAAAAGGUGGGUCUUAAUAGAGUUGUCACUUGAUUACAAAAUAUUGUACAGCUCAGUUGUGUGCAUGUCUAUCCAGAGGUUCGCUUGAGUUCAGUGGGCUUUAUUCCUAGGAAAGCAAGCGUAAGAUUGAAGUCUAAGGUCACCUCCAGAUUAUCAGUAUUUUGCCAGAGCGUUUCAAACACAUACCAGAAACGCAGGUUUGUGCAAUUUAAGUUGAUUAAAAUGUUUUUUCACCCUGGUGCAACAAAUCCACUUUUAAAAUACCUUUUGUGUUUAGGAGAGUUAUGUGAAAAUGUACUGCUAAACAAAUAUUAACAGGAAUACUUAUUAUUUACUUAUUUUAUUUAUUUACUUAUCUGGAGAGAAGCAACACGAGACCGGGCCUUUUUGGUGGGGGCUCCUCAUUGGUGGAAUGUUCUCUCCAGGGAGGCUCACUUGGCACCAUCAUUAUAUGUUUUUAGGCACCAGAAUGCAGUGGGUCCCAAGUUCAAUUCCUGGCAUCUCCAGGUAGGACUGGAAGAGACUCCUGGUCUGAAGCCCUGAAGAACCACUGUCAGUCAUUGUUGACAGUACUGAGCUAAAAUGGAAUGAUGGUCAGAUUCUGUAUAAGGCAGUUUCCUAUGUUCCUGUGCUAGGGUCUCAAUCCAUAGAAAUUCUGGCUACUUAGAAAAAUAAACAAAAACAUUGCCCUUAAAAUCAGAGCUACAUGACAUGAAAUUUGGCCCUGAAAUUUGGAUUCUGAUACAAAACCUCCUGCAGAAAACAACUGCACAAAGACCUGACCGAAGGCAACCAGUUAACGCUGAAAUUUCACUUUCUGUCUGGGACUCAUUGGCUAUUAAACAUGUGUAGCAUCUAUCUGUGUAGCCUAACACCAUGCUUCUGCCUUUUUUUUGGUUUGAUUUUUGGAUUAUUUUCAUGUGUGUUUCUUCUCUUGGAGUAUCUGAACACCAUCAUGGCAAACUUCUGUGUGAUUCAUUGGUGGCCCUGAUUCAUCACUUGCGAAUUACUGUUUUAGAACAGCGUGUGUUAGCACAGACCUUGCCAUGGCUGGAAUACAAGGAGAUGCCAAGUAUUUAAGGGCACGCUCGUUUCCUUUCUCCAGCUCCUGUGCCUACCCAUGUCUGUUUUCCAGAUGGAAAAAGAAGAGAAUACAAAGGACUGAGUUUUACAGCUGCAGAUCUGCAGUACCUGUGUAUUCCGGGUGCAUCCAUUGUUCAGCUAAUGCAACAACUGACAUUCUGAUCAUGCUACAAAUAAACCCUGGUGGCAGAUAUUCUUUC